Molecule: transfer RNA, 67 nt
Filed under: Limnothlypis swainsonii (Swainson's warbler)
Lineage: Eukaryota; Metazoa; Chordata; Aves; Passeriformes; Parulidae
Description: tRNA-Cys
Source: RNAcentral
GGCUCUGUAGUGAAGUUCAUAGUGAGUUGCAAGCUCACUGAUGUGCAUUGACCAUGCGCCGGGGCCU